Molecule: microRNA, 22 nt
Filed under: Ovis aries (sheep)
Lineage: Eukaryota; Metazoa; Chordata; Mammalia; Artiodactyla; Bovidae
Description: microRNA miR-374a
Source: RNAcentral
UUAUAAUACAACCUGAUAAGCG